RNAcentral lists this ribosomal RNA (327 nucleotides) under Candidatus Saccharimonadota bacterium. RNAcentral describes it as "partial 23S ribosomal RNA". It matches the Rfam family "Bacterial large subunit ribosomal RNA", at positions 2591 to 2925 of the family's 2925-position model. Lineage: Bacteria; Candidatus Saccharimonadota. The record is from RNAcentral.
AAGUGGUACGCGAGCUGGGUUCAGAACGUCGUGAGACAGUUCGGUUUAUAUCCGGCAUGAUCGUUAGGAAUUUUGAGGAGAUCUGCCCCUAGUACGAGAGGACCGGGGUGGACGAACCUCUAGUGUAUCGGUUGUGGCCACCUGCUGCAUCGCCGAGUAGCUAUGUUCGGAAGAGAUAAGCGCUGAAAGCAUAUUAAGCGCGAAGCCCACUCCAAGAUUAGAAUUCCCUAUGAGAUCCCAGAAAGAAGAUCUGGUUGAUAGGCGCAAGAUGGAAGCAUGGCAACGUGUGGAGUCGAAGCGUACUAAUAGAUCCAUCGCCUUUUUAUG